Molecule: ribosomal RNA, 333 nt
Filed under: Triticum aestivum (bread wheat)
Lineage: Eukaryota; Viridiplantae; Streptophyta; Magnoliopsida; Poales; Poaceae
Description: partial small subunit ribosomal RNA
Source: RNAcentral
AUGUCUUCCUCCUCCUCCUCCGGCGCUUCUCAGACUACCCUCAAUGGGCAGGUCACCGAGAAGCUAACACGCACGAACUACGUGCUCUGGCACACGCAGGUCACUCCCCAUCUGCGCGGCGCCGGCAUCUUCGGCUACGUCGACGGCACCACACCGGAGCCGGCCAGGCUUCAUGUCACCAAGGACAAGGAUGGCAAAGAAAGCGCUGAGCCCAACCCUCUCCACCCAAUCUGGGUCCGGGAGGAUCAGCAGGUGUUGGGCUACUUGCUCAGCACCCUCUCCAAGGAGGUACUCAUCGCAGUGACCACGGUCACCACGGCGCAUGCGCUCUAG